RNAcentral lists this ribosomal RNA (2422 nucleotides) under Klebsiella pneumoniae. Its description in RNAcentral is "bacterial LSU rRNA". It matches the Rfam family "Bacterial large subunit ribosomal RNA", at positions 403 to 2812 of the family's 2925-position model. Lineage: Bacteria; Pseudomonadati; Pseudomonadota; Gammaproteobacteria; Enterobacterales; Enterobacteriaceae. The record is from RNAcentral.
ACUCGAAGAGUAGGGCGGGACACGUGGUAUCCUGUCUGAAUAUGGGGGGACCAUCCUCCAAGGCUAAAUACUCCUGACUGACCGAUAGUGAACCAGUACCGUGAGGGAAAGGCGAAAAGAACCCCGGCGAGGGGAGUGAAAAAGAACCUGAAACCGUGUACGUACAAGCAGUGGGAGCACCUUCGGGUGUGACUGCGUACCUUUUGUAUAAUGGGUCAGCGACUUAUAUUCUGUAGCAAGGUUAACCGUAUAGGGGAGCCGCAGGGAAACCGAGUCUUAACUGGGCGUUAAGUUGCAGGGUAUAGACCCGAAACCCGGUGAUCUAGCCAUGGGCAGGUUGAAGGUUGGGUAACACUAACUGGAGGACCGAACCGACUAAUGUUGAAAAAUUAGCGGAUGACUUGUGGCUGGGGGUGAAAGGCCAAUCAAACCGGGAGAUAGCUGGUUCUCCCCGAAAGCUAUUUAGGUAGCGCCUCGUGAACUCAUCUUCGGGGGUAGAGCACUGUUUCGGCUAGGGGGUCAUCCCGACUUACCAACCCGAUGCAAACUACGAAUACCGAAGAAUGUUAUCACGGGAGACACACGGCGGGUGCUAACGUCCGUCGUGAAGAGGGAAACAACCCAGACCGCCAGCUAAGGUCCCAAAGUCAUGGUUAAGUGGGAAACGAUGUGGGAAGGCACAGACAGCCAGGAUGUUGGCUUAGAAGCAGCCAUCAUUUAAAGAAAGCGUAAUAGCUCACUGGUCGAGUCGGCCUGCGCGGAAGAUGUAACGGGGCUAAACCAUGCACCGAAGCUGCGGCAGCGACACUAUGUGUUGUUGGGUAGGGGAGCGUUCUGUAAGCCUGCGAAGGUGUGCUGUGAGGCAUGCUGGAGGUAUCAGAAGUGCGAAUGCUGACAUAAGUAACGAUAAAGCGGGUGAAAAGCCCGCUCGCCGGAAGACCAAGGGUUCCUGUCCAACGUUAAUCGGGGCAGGGUGAGUCGACCCCUAAGGCGAGGCCGAAAGGCGUAGUCGAUGGGAAACAGGUUAAUAUUCCUGUACUUGGUGUUACUGCGAAGGGGGGACGGAGAAGGCUAUGUUAGCCGGGCGACGGUUGUCCCGGUUUAAGCAUGUAGGCUGAUUGUCCAGGCAAAUCCGGAUAAUCAAGGCUGAGGUGUGAUGACGAGGCACUACGGUGCUGAAGUAACAAAUGCCCUGCUUCCAGGAAAAGCCUCUAAGCAUCAGGUAACAUUAAAUCGUACCCCAAACCGACACAGGUGGUCAGGUAGAGAAUACCAAGGCGCUUGAGAGAACUCGGGUGAAGGAACUAGGCAAAAUGGUGCCGUAACUUCGGGAGAAGGCACGCUGGUGUGUAGGUGAAGUCCCUGCGGAUGGAGCUGAGACCAGUCGAAGAUACCAGCUGGCUGCAACUGUUUAUUAAAAACACAGCACUGUGCAAACACGAAAGUGGACGUAUACGGUGUGACGCCUGCCCGGUGCCGGAAGGUUAAUUGAUGGGGUUAUCCGUAAGGAGAAGCUCUUGAUCGAAGCCCCGGUAAACGGCGGCCGUAACUAUAACGGUCCUAAGGUAGCGAAAUUCCUUGUCGGGUAAGUUCCGACCUGCACGAAUGGCGUAAUGAUGGCCAGGCUGUCUCCACCCGAGACUCAGUGAAAUUGAACUCGCUGUGAAGAUGCAGUGUACCCGCGGCAAGACGGAAAGACCCCGUGAACCUUUACUAUAGCUUGACACUGAACAUUGAGCCUUGAUGUGUAGGAUAGGUGGGAGGCUUUGAAGCGUGGACGCCAGUCUGCGUGGAGCCAACCUUGAAAUACCACCCUUUAAUGUUUGAUGUUCUAACGUUGGCCCCUGACCGGGGUUGCGGACAGUGUCUGGUGGGUAGUUUGACUGGGGCGGUCUCCUCCCAAAGCGUAACGGAGGAGCACGAAGGUUAGCUAAUCCUGGUCGGACAUCAGGAGGUUAGUGCAAUGGCAUAAGCUAGCUUGACUGCGAGCGUGACGGCGCGAGCAGGUGCGAAAGCAGGUCAUAGUGAUCCGGUGGUUCUGAAUGGAAGGGCCAUCGCUCAACGGAUAAAAGGUACUCCGGGGAUAACAGGCUGAUACCGCCCAAGAGUUCAUAUCGACGGCGGUGUUUGGCACCUCGAUGUCGGCUCAUCACAUCCUGGGGCUGAAGUAGGUCCCAAGGGUAUGGCUGUUCGCCAUUUAAAGUGGUACGCGAGCUGGGUUUAGAACGUCGUGAGACAGUUCGGUCCCUAUCUGCCGUGGGCGCUGGAGAAUUGAGGGGGGCUGCUCCUAGUACGAGAGGACCGGAGUGGACGCAUCACUGGUGUUCGGGUUGUCAUGCCAAUGGCACUGCCCGGUAGCUAAAUGCGGAAGAGAUAAGUGCUGAAAGCAUCUAAGCACGAAACUUGCCCCGAGAUGAGUUCU